AGGUAGUACAAAUUUUUUCAAUAAAACCUAUAUGAUUUGGCGGCAUUCCAUCUUAUUAGAGGAACUUGUCCUUUAAUCGAUAAUCCACGAUAAUUUUCACUUUCUUCACAAUUUAUAUACCGCCAUCCUUAAGAACCAUCUUCAAAGUUCCCUCUUAAUAACAAAUAAAAAUUUAGGUCAAGGUGUAGUCCAUAUUAAAGCACGAGAUGAGUUACCUUAAAAAUAAUUUAAGGAUUAUUGGUUUAAAACCCAACAUAAAAAAGAAUUUAAAAGUAAACUAAAACUAAUAAUUCUAUUUGAAUUAGAAAAUAAAUGUGC
This 318-nucleotide ribosomal RNA is filed under the name Zanomys californica. RNAcentral describes it as "partial 12S ribosomal RNA". The record is from RNAcentral. Lineage: Eukaryota; Metazoa; Arthropoda; Arachnida; Araneae; Macrobunidae.